GGUCGGAUAAGGCGUUUACCGCAUCCGACAUCAAUGCCUGAUGCGACGCUUGCCGCGUCUUAUCAGGCC
Molecule: non-coding RNA, 69 nt
Filed under: Escherichia coli K-12
Lineage: Bacteria; Pseudomonadati; Pseudomonadota; Gammaproteobacteria; Enterobacterales; Enterobacteriaceae
Description: Nucleoid-associated noncoding RNA 4 (CssrE)
Rfam family: Nucleoid-associated noncoding RNA 4 (CssrE)
About the family: In E. coli small RNA transcribed from repeated extragenic palindromic element (REP325) called nucleoid-associated ncRNA 4 (nRNA4) collaborates HU protein in condensing the DNA. The secondary structure but not the sequence of the RNA is important in nucleoid condensation.
Source: Rfam by way of RNAcentral